Molecule: transfer RNA, 74 nt
Filed under: Apaloderma vittatum (bar-tailed trogon)
Lineage: Eukaryota; Metazoa; Chordata; Aves; Trogoniformes; Trogonidae
Rfam family: tRNA
About the family: Transfer RNA (tRNA) molecules are approximately 80 nucleotides in length. Their secondary structure includes four short double-helical elements and three loops (D, anti-codon, and T loops).
Source: Rfam by way of RNAcentral
GGGCAGUUAGCUCAGUCAGUGAGAGUGUGGUGCUGAUAACACUGAGGUUGCGAGUUCGAUCCCCGCUCGGUCCC